This is a long non-coding RNA of Caretta caretta (loggerhead turtle), 1317 nucleotides long. RefSeq lists it as uncharacterized. NCBI's taxonomy places the organism in Eukaryota, Metazoa, Chordata, Testudines, Cheloniidae. The record is from RefSeq and is a predicted model, not a curated record.
CCCUUUCAGCGGCAGCAUUCUAAAGGCGGCCGGCCGGCAUGCCUCCAAAGGGAAGUGCACCACAUCCUGUUUGGGGAGGCUCAGUCUUCCCUGGCCUAUUACACCCACCGCCCAUGCUUGCACCAUAGAUUGCACCCAGACUGCCUUCCAACUGCAAAGUCAUAUUUUAUAUGCUAACGGGGGUUCUGAGCCAUUCCUUCAAUCACAGAUAUUGCACAAUAUCACAGAUAUCCAACAGAAGUGACUGACAGAUACAUUUAAGGUAUAUCUUGUGGAUUCCCAAUUUUUCUCGACUUUUAGUAAUUUAGGUGAAUAAUUUUUCAUCUAGAGUGAGCAGUUCACUGUAAAUUUUCAAGAACUGAAAUCUGAACUGUUGGGAUUGGACAUGCAGAUCACAUGGUAUGCUUCGGUUCUCUGGUUGGGUUGUUUCUAAUCCCAUGAACCAUCCACCAGCCAUGCAUUGAGGAGUAGGACUUCAAGAUUGGGGUGAAGGAUCUUCCUGGGAAGGAAAUUGAAGGGCAGUUGAGAAGGAGCGGAGGGCUGUUUCCCCAUGCAGCACAACAGAGCAUAAGACAAGUAACACUCAUGCACAGGCUGAACAGACACUACUGUGUGAAAUCUCUGAUCGAAGGCACACGGGGUGCAAGGGCACCUAGAGUGGAGCACCCACAGGGACACUACUCAAAGAAGAACCUGACUUAUCCUCCUGGAGAACCUCAAGGUUCCAGAGGACCCAUUUUUCCUGCUUAAUGCCUGAACAUUGUUCUGUGAAAAAUGGCAGCCUAGUCCAGAAGCAAGUGCAUGAAUUUGCACAUUAUUGUAACUUUCCACUUAUAUGUAAUAAUAUUGCAACCCCUGGCUACCAUAAACUUAUUGUACUAAAUUGACUAUUCCCAGUUAAACAUCUUGUUAGGAGACCAACCAUGCUGCACAUUAGUUUGAUGUGGAAAAAAAUGUGAAUUGGACUCCUAUAUUGAAAGAAGAUGUGAGUGGUACCAUAAGUGUUUCCAGCUAAGUUUCUGAAUAAUAAUUGAAGGCAUGAGUGCUAGAGUGAGGACUAGUUUGAGUAACAUUGGAAAAAUGCAGGGUAGGGGAGAGACUGAGAGCACAUGGGAGAGGCAACAAAGCUGGGUUAUUGGGCUGGCUUCCUAGUCUAAUGUCAGUGCAGAGAGGAUGUAAAUUUAGAUAGGUGAGGUGCCCUGCUGCUCAGACCAGCAGGAGCUGGUGUGCUGUGGAGGUAAGCUGCUUAACCUCUACCAGGUAGAAAGUAGCAGUGUGCUCACAGCACUAAAUAUAAAAGGUCCCACCUGUGCUCCU